RNAcentral lists this ribosomal RNA (305 nucleotides) under uncultured bacterium. RNAcentral's name for it is "bacterial SSU rRNA". It matches the Rfam family "Bacterial small subunit ribosomal RNA", at positions 335 to 658 of the family's 1533-position model. The record is from RNAcentral.
ACCCUACGGGAGGCAGCAGUGGGGGAUAUUGGACAACGGGGGGAACCCUGAUCCAGCGACGCCGCGUGAGUGAAGAAGUAUUACGGUAUGUAAACUUCUAUCAGCAGGGAAGAAAAUGACGGUACCUGACUAAGAAGCCCCGGCUAACUACGUGCCGGCAGCCGCGGUAAUACGUAGGGGGCAAGCGUUAUCCGGAUUUACUGGGUGUAAAGGGAGCGUAGGCGGUUCAGCAAGUCAGAAGUGAAAGCCCGGGGCUCAACUCCGGGACUGCUUUUGAAACUGUUGAACUAGAUUGCAGGAGAGGG